This is a non-coding RNA of Cucurbita moschata (crookneck pumpkin), 82 nucleotides long. NCBI's taxonomy places the organism in Eukaryota, Viridiplantae, Streptophyta, Magnoliopsida, Cucurbitales, Cucurbitaceae. The record is from the annotation of a RefSeq genome assembly.
GUGGGUGUGCCGAAGUGGUUAUCGGGCAUGAUUUGAAAUCAUAUGGGCUUUGCCCGUGCUAGUUCAAAUCCUGCCAUUCACG